GACGAACGCUGGCGGCGUGCUUAACACAUGCAAGUCGAACGGAAAGGCCCUGCUUUUGUGGGGUGCUCGAGCGGCGAACGGGUGAGUAACACGUGAGUAACCUGCCCUUGACUUUGGGAUAACUUCAGGAAACUGGGGCUAAUACCGGAUAGGAGCUCCUGCUGCAUGGUGGGGGUUGGAAAGUUUCGGCGGUUGGGGAUGGACUCGCGGCUUAUCAGCUUGUUGGUGGGGUAGUGGCUUACCAAGGCUUUGACGGGUAGCCGGCCUGAGAGGGUGACCGGCCACAUUGGGACUGAGAUACGGCCCAGACUCCUACGGGAGGCAGCAGUGGGGAAUAUUGCACAAUGGGCGGAAGCCUGAUGCAGCAACGCCGCGUGCGGGAUGACGGCCUUCGGGUUGUAAACCGCUUUCGCCUGUGACGAAGCGUGAGUGACGGUAAUGGGUAAAGAAGCACCGGCUAACUGCGUG
This 468-nucleotide ribosomal RNA is filed under the name uncultured bacterium. Its description in RNAcentral is "partial 16S ribosomal RNA". It matches the Rfam family "Bacterial small subunit ribosomal RNA", at positions 28 to 507 of the family's 1533-position model. The record is from RNAcentral.